This 62-nucleotide transfer RNA is filed under the name Phaeomonas parva. The record is from RNAcentral. Lineage: Eukaryota; Pinguiophyceae; Pinguiochrysidales; Pinguiochrysidaceae.
UUAGCGCGCGGCGCGGUGGCAACGAGAGCCCCGCGGAACCCCGCAGGCUCUCUAGCAAGCCC